GGCAGCAGUGGGGAAUUUUGGACAAUGGGCGCAAGCCUGAUCCAGCCAUGCCGCGUGCAGGAUGAAGGCCUUCCGGUUGUAAACUGCAUUAGUACGGAACGAAAAGCCUUCUUCUAAUAAAGGGAGGUCAUGACGGUACCGUAAGAAUAAGCACCGGCUAACUACGUGCCAGCAGCCGCG
Molecule: ribosomal RNA, 180 nt
Filed under: uncultured Acidovorax sp.
Lineage: Bacteria; Pseudomonadati; Pseudomonadota; Betaproteobacteria; Burkholderiales; Comamonadaceae
Description: partial 16S ribosomal RNA
Rfam family: Bacterial small subunit ribosomal RNA
Source: RNAcentral